Molecule: ribosomal RNA, 493 nt
Filed under: Variovorax paradoxus
Lineage: Bacteria; Pseudomonadati; Pseudomonadota; Betaproteobacteria; Burkholderiales; Comamonadaceae
Description: bacterial SSU rRNA
Rfam family: Bacterial small subunit ribosomal RNA
Source: RNAcentral
UAGAGUUUGAUCCUGGCUCAGAUUGAACGCUGGCGGCAUGCCUUACACAUGCAAGUCGAACGGCAGCGCGGGAGCAAUCCUGGCGGCGAGUGGCGAACGGGUGAGUAAUACAUCGGAACGUGCCCAAUCGUGGGGGAUAACGCAGCGAAAGCUGUGCUAAUACCGCAUACGAUCUACGGAUGAAAGCAGGGGAUCGCAAGACCUUGCGCGAAUGGAGCGGCCGAUGGCAGAUUAGGUAGUUGGUGAGGUAAAGGCUCACCAAGCCUUCGAUCUGUAGCUGGUCUGAGAGGACGACCAGCCACACUGGGACUGAGACACGGCCCAGACUCCUACGGGAGGCAGCAGUGGGGAAUUUUGGACAAUGGGCGCAAGCCUGAUCCAGCCAUGCCGCGUGCAGGAUGAAGGCCUUCGGGUUGUAAACUGCUUUUGUACGGAACGAAACGGCCUUUUCUAAUAAAGAGGGCUAAUGACGGUACCGUAAGAAUAAGACCGU